RNAcentral lists this ribosomal RNA (301 nucleotides) under uncultured bacterium. RNAcentral's name for it is "partial 16S ribosomal RNA". It matches the Rfam family "Bacterial small subunit ribosomal RNA", at positions 509 to 807 of the family's 1533-position model. The record is from RNAcentral.
CAGUCGCCGCGGUAAUACGAAGGGUGCAAGCGUUACUCGGAAUUACUGGGCGUAAAGCGUGCGUAGGUGGUUGUUUAAGUCUGCUGUGAAAGCCCUGGGCUCAACCUGGGAAUUGCAGUGGAUACUGGGCGACUAGAGUAAGGUAGAGGAUAGUGGAAUUUCCGGUGUAGCAGUGAAAUGCGUAGAGAUCGGAAGGAGCAUCUGUGGCGAAGGCGACUAUCUGGGCCAUUACUGACACUGAGGCACGAAAGCGUGGGGAGCAAACAGGAUUAGAUACCCCCGUAGUCCCUGUCUCUUAUAC